CCAGGAACGGGAAGCAAGGAAGUAGGAAGCGCUCUGAUCCGCGAGCGGCUAGAGGCUAGAGGCUAGAGGCUAGAGGCUAGAGGCUAGAGGCUAGAGGCUAGAGGCUAGAGGCUAGAGGCCCACGGAGGCCCACGGAGGCCCCAGAGACUGUCUAUCAUGGAUAUUUAACUGCAGUUCUGUGAGUAUCCCAACUUAACCAUGAAGAUGAACUGCAAACUGUAAGUCAUUAAUUUCUUAUUACUCUUGGGCACAUUGAUGUAUUUUGGCUUCCUGGUGAGUUAACCUGUUACCUGAAGGUUGAUCUGAGUUGCAAGGAUGUUUUAUUGGUUGGUUUUAAUGAUUUGUUAAAAUGGUUACAGGCUGCAAGUUAUUGUUGUAAGCUGGAGUAAUGGGUUGGGUUCUGAUAUCUUCAGUCUUCUUUCAUUCUACUCUCCUGAGCUCUGCAUCUUCAUCACAUGUGUGUUGCUUUACUGAUGAGCGUGUGGUCUGAGUGAGCAGAGGUGCAUACUGGGAUACAGAGCUGUCUGAAGUCUACUGGUCUGUAGACAUGCCCCCUCAGGGGAAACCGAGUGUUUGAGAAACUGUCGUGACGUCAGUUACAUGGACUGGAAUGUUCUUAAAGAUGGAGACAGGGAUUCAGAAGGAGAAACACCAUGGGGAGAUGAGGGGGCUCCUCAUCUCAACGACUGAAACACAAUUUCAGUCUGACGCAGAGAACCAUGGAACACAUUCAACAGUCCCCUCCAGGCAUCGUGACUCCUCAGGAACAGUUUCAUUUCCAAGAAGCUCUUAUUUGGGGCCAUCCCAUAUGGAUCGUGCUCCUCAAAAGCCCCCCCCCCCUCCACUGGGUGGUCUUCUGAACAGAUGACCUCCUUCCUGUCCUCAGGCUGACUAAAGCAAAACCGCUUGCAUCUGUGAAGGCCCCUCAUUCAGGAAACCACUGGACUACAAAGACAUGACUUCCGAGACGUUGAAUCAACCUGGGACACAUUUUGGAGACGCCAAGCUUAAUCCAUCACCAAUGUGGGACGCCACUGAAGUGUUGUACAUAAUUUACGUCUCUGGAGACAUUGGUUGUUCUGUUAUGGGUGCCCUGGCAGGAGAGCUGGGGGGGGGGGGAUGGAUGGAAUAUUAUUUGGCAUGAGGUUUUUACCCUGCAUGAUUAUUUGGCAUUUUAUGGCUCAGUGGUGUGUGUGUGUGUGUGUGUGUUUGGGGUUGACAUGAGAUGGAAGAUUUUUGUGCAUCGCUAGGGUUCUACUGUGGGUGGGUGGGUCACACCUGGCAUGGGGUUCUACGUGUGUGUUUCCGGCUUGCUUUGACAGUGAUGAUGUUCAUACGGGGGUCUAUGAUUGGCUUGGGAUAUUGGAAUGGUCAACUAAAUCAUACCUGUUGGACGGCCACACGUUUACUUAAGGGCCUCCAGUAGACAUGACGAGCCCUGAGCGACUCUCCGGAGCGAGAUCCAACACACUGGGCAGGAAGGAGAGUAUCCAACUCAAGUGUAAAAGGAUGCAAGCGGCGUGUUCAGAUCAGUGACUUCAAACUAGGACUACACCAAUCAGGCUCAAUGGAGGAUGGACCCCAAAAGGAAUUCCACAAGGAGAGUCUGACGUUGGAAAGGGACCUAAAUGGAUAUUCAAGAUGACCUUCAGACCUGUAAUGAGACGGCUCUUCCUACCUGGCUGGAUUGAUGGAGAGCCCUGUGGAUCUUGUCUUGCUCUCAGUUGCACGUCUUCUCAGGCUGAACUGUAUUUGUUUCGGACAGGACUAGCUGAACGAUUGGUUCCCUUAAAUCAGAACCAAUCCGGGAACUCCAGCUAGGGCGCUCUUCGAGCUGAAGUUGUGUUCUUCAGCUGAGGAGGUAAGGAAACCUUCGCUGGGGCUUCAAGGUGUAAAGAGGACUGUUUCAAAGUGUUCCAUGGUACUCUGAUGAAGACCGUUGUUCUGUUCCACUGGCUGAGAGGAAGAACUCACACAUCUUCCUCUUGGCCUUUCUCCUGAGAAUCCUGGCGCCAUCUUGUAGGAUAUUCCAGCUCAUGUAACUGAUGUCACGACAGAUUCUCAAACACUUUGUUUCUCCUGAGGGGCGUGUCUAUAGAACUGAAGACUUCAGACAGCACUGUAUCCCAGUAUGCAUCUCUGCUCACUCAGACCACACCCCCAUGAGUAGGAUGCAACACUCUAGUGAUGGCGAUGUAGAGUUUUAUAAGUAACGAGGGAGCAGACUAAGGUGAUUAGAACACAAUGUAAUGUCCAGUCUGUAAAUCUUUAAACCAUGAAGAUGGUUGGAUAGUUCAGGAAUCAGGCUUCUUUUUAUUAUGGGCAGUCCUUUCACUCAGAUGCCCACUUCUCACUGGAGCUGUAUAUGUGUUGGCUGGCUGGCAUAAUUUGCUGUUGGUGAUGAGGCGGUCAGGGUGACGUUGCAGGGCUAUGGUCGGCUCUCGGUGAGCUCAACGUUUAGAUUUGCUCUGUAUGGUUUGUACCCUGAAUAAUCUAGAUAAUUGUAAAAUGUAGACACGGUUUUGUAUUGAAUGACUCCAGGAUUUUAGGUUUAAAGUUGUUGUGGGACGUACAUGGUAGUUUGGUUCUUCGUAUGGUUUUGAGUGAUAUAACUUGUACACACUGGGUGCAUAAUAAUGUAAAUGUACACUGAAUAGUAGUAUUGACCAACAGCAACAAACAGAUCUCCUCAAGGUAAGUCUGUUGGCUGUGUUUUAAUGAAGACCAUCGCUGGACUUCAGGAUCUUCCGCCGUUCAGCUCAAGGUGAGGCGCUGGUUCUGUUUUUUCUUUGGUUGGUUCCGGCUGGAAUGUUCGGAUUCCAGUCGGACGGUUUGUGCUUCCCGCCGUGGAAGGUUCUGAGUGGGGUCACUUGAUUUAGUCCCAAUGGUUAGCAUAGAACGUUGUAGUCUUGACAACCAUAAGAAACCACCUGGCAGUUAGUUGGACAUGAGUCCCCUGAGGGAAUCUGGCGAACGUUCUGGAUUGUAUUUGCGUAACCUCGAGCCGUUGCCAACGGAAACUAUUUUUCAGUCGGUUUCUAUUGGGAAUUGUUGCCCCUAUCUUAAACAACUUAAGUUUGAUAUUAAAUACAUACGUCGUACAAUAUGUUGAUAAUUUCCGAUGGUUGCGCCGUACUUUUAACCACGAUGACGUGACGGGACUCUCACUGCGUACAAAACAGCGUUCUACUUGCGGGCCCAUUUUUGACAUCGGGGAAGGCUGAAAAUCAUUUCAAGGUGGAAGAUGAUUUUGACAUUUCUUCAACGGAACCCAGCACCUGAAUAUGGCUGAGUAUGUUUGAUUUAAUAUCGAUACUGCUUGGUGUUCUUUGUUACUUCAGCUUUUGUACGUUCUAAAUAUCUGCCGUCAUUAAUUGCCACAGAAGUUAAACCCUACCCAAUGGAAUGACGUUAAAAAACGACUUUGGUGCAGAGUUACCAACUGGAUAAUGUCAAAGCUAAAAUAAUGGCCGUCAUUCCCACAUGUUACAGUAGAAGAUACUCUAGAACUGUACAAGGUUAAAAAUGUAACAUGUAGUUUGUCCCAAGGUGUCUGCCUCCUCACCCAGAGCCAGACCUCCACCUCCUGUCAGAAGUCCUCCAGAACAGCUGAAAGGCGAGGCUGAGAGGCUGGGGACCGGAGGCUUGUGGUGCCAGGGUGGACCGGAGACUGAGGCUGGAGACCAGGGGCCUGCAGCACCGGACCAGAGGACCAGGAAUCCAUGGCUGAAGGAGCUGAUGGAGGAGCCAGGCUGAUGGAGGAGCCGUUCUGAAGGAGCUGAUGGAGGAGUCGUGCUGAAGGCCCUGCCCGGUGGAGGAGCUGGUGGAGGCCCUGCCUGGUGAAGGACGGCUGUCGUGGGACCAGGACUCUGUCUGAGGAGAGCUGAUGGAGGAGCUGAGACGCUGGAGGACGACUAGGAAUCGACCAACAAGGAUUCCUCAACGUGUUUCUGGAGCGGAGGCGAGCUGGUAGGGGAGCCGUGAAUCUGGAGGAAGACAUCACUCUACCAACAAGGAUUACCAGGACUCUGGCUGAGGAGAGCUGAUGGAGGAGCCAAGACUCUGGAGGACAACAUCACUCUACCAACCAGGAUCCUCGAAUCUGGAGGACUGAUGGAGAAGCCGUACAUCUGGAAGGCAAAUCCUGAGGACAACCAGGACGCUACCAUCAAGGAUUCCUUACGCACUUGAGCUGAACCUCACCUGAUCCUGUUUGGUCGGGGGUAGACACACCUGAGCUGAACCUCACCUGAUCCUGUUUGGUCAGGGGCAGACACACCUGAGCUGAACCCGCCCUGAUCCUGACAUCCUGCUGGUCCCGUCUCCUCAGUUCAUCUGAGCCUCGUCCACCAGAAGACCUGCUGAGCUCAGCAGUCUGAGGCUGAUGGAUCAAUGACCUCCAGUGGGAGUGAUCUUCUUGCCCCCACAUACCAGGAAUCCAUGGCUGAAGGAGCUGAUGGAGGAGCCGUGCUGAAGGAGCUAAAGGAGUCGUGCUGAAGGCCCUGCCUGGUGGAGGAGCUGGUGGAGGCCCUGCCUGGUGAAGGACCUGCCUGACCAGGACUCUGUCGGCGGAGAGCUAAUGGAGGAGCUGAGACACUGGAGGACAACUAGGAAUCGACCAAAUAGGAUUCCUCAACGUGUUUCUGGAGCGGAGGCGAGCUGGUAGGGGAGCCGUGAAUCUGGAGGAUGACCAUCACUCUACCAACAAGGAUUACCAGGACUCUGAUGGAGGAGAGCUGAUGGAGGAGCCAAGACUCUGGAGGAUGACAUCACUCCACCAACCAGAAUCCUCAGACAAAUUACGUUUGUAAGCAGACCAGGAAUCUGGAGGACUGAUGGAGAAGCCGUACAUCUGGAAGGCAAAUCCUGAGGACCACCAGGACUCUACCAUCGAGGAUCUGGACAUAGUGGACUAGACACACCUGAGCUGAACCUGAUCCUGUUUGGUCGGGGGGUAGACGCACCUCAGCUAAACCCGCCCUGAUCCUGACAUCCUGCUGGUCCCGUCUUCUCAGUUAAUCUGAGCCUCGUCCUCCAGAAGACCUGCUGAGGCUGAUGGAUCGAUGACCUCCAGUGGGAGUGAUCCUCUUGACCCCACAUGUAACGUGUGCUUCCACACGCCUUUCCCUCACGUCUGUCACUAACCUCACUACUUCACAACUCUCUACUGCUUCCUCUUUUCUUCCUUCUCUGUGGUUCAAACCUUUACACUGAAGGCGCGUCUUCAUGCCCUCAGAGGGUUUAGCGUUAGGGUUGAGAGUCAGGGUUUAGAGUCAGGGACAGAGCUGGUCAGGGAGGACUGCUUUUACACAAACCUCUUCACUUGCUUUCGGAAUGGUGGUGACAUUUUGAAAAGAUUAAAUUUGGGAAAAUGUUUUACAAAAUUGUAUUGAACUUCUGUCAAGUGUUUUUGUUUAUAUAUUAAAAUCCCAC
Gadus chalcogrammus (walleye pollock) is the source of this 5433-nucleotide long non-coding RNA. RefSeq lists it as uncharacterized. The transcript has 15 exons. NCBI's taxonomy places the organism in Eukaryota, Metazoa, Chordata, Actinopteri, Gadiformes, Gadidae. The record is from RefSeq and is a predicted model, not a curated record.